This is a small nucleolar RNA of Malus domestica (apple), 100 nucleotides long. RefSeq annotates it as small nucleolar RNA snoR113. Lineage: Eukaryota; Viridiplantae; Streptophyta; Magnoliopsida; Rosales; Rosaceae. The record is from RefSeq and is a predicted model, not a curated record.
UGGCGAUGAUGAAACAAAGGCCGGACUUACGGCUGCUUCCGGCAAGGUCGGUAGUAGAUUGAUGAGACUCUUAACGAAAAGGUGUUGUUUGCUGAGCCGC